CUACGGGAGGCUGCAGUGGGGAAUAUUGGACAAUGGGCGAAAGCCUGAUCCAGCCAUGCCGCGUGUGUGAAGAAGGCCUUCGGGUUGUAAAGCACUUUCAGUGGGGAAGAAAGCCUUGGGGCUAAUACCCUCGAGGAAGGACAUCACCCACAGAAGAAGCACCGGCUAACUCCGUGCCAGCAGCCGCGGUAAUACGGAGGGUGCGAGCGUUAAUCGGAAUUACUGGGCGUAAAGCGCGCGUAGGCGGUCUGAUAAGCCGGUUGUGAAAGCCCCGGGCUCAACCUGGGAACGGCAUCCGGAACUGUCAGGCUAGAGUGCAGGAGAGGAAGGUAGAAUUCCCGGUGUAGCAGUGAAAUGCGUAGAGAUCGGGAGGAAUACCAGUGGCGAAGGCGGCCUUCUGGACUGACACUGACGCUGAGGUGCGAAAGCGUGGGUAGCAAACAGGAUUAGAUACCCGAGUAGUC
Molecule: ribosomal RNA, 464 nt
Filed under: Vreelandella stevensii
Lineage: Bacteria; Pseudomonadati; Pseudomonadota; Gammaproteobacteria; Oceanospirillales; Halomonadaceae
Description: partial 16S ribosomal RNA
Rfam family: Bacterial small subunit ribosomal RNA
Source: RNAcentral